AAAGGUGGAUUUUUAUUUUUUUUAAUGAAAAUAAUAUUAUGGUAGAGAAUGAUUAUGAGUAUUUCAUCAAGUGACUUUGGAUUGAGAUCAUUAAAUUAAGUGUGUUUAAUUUGAAGUUGGACAAACAUGACCACAAUACCCUUAUGCGUGAAUAAUUACCAAAAUAUCCUUGUAGGCCCAAAACAAAAAACAAAAAAUAUUUAUAAAUAAAUAAAUAAGAAGAGAAGAAGAAUCCGAAACGUUGAGGGAAUCAAACCAUCCUCCUCCCAUUCUUCCCCCAUUGCCUCAUUUCAAAGCUUCCAUUAUGAAGGGAUGAGGAUGAGUCACCUAGCCUAAGGGAUUUUUCUUGAUGAAGCUAAGAACUAGGGGAGGUGAGUUGCUGGCAGGAGAGAGAGAGAGAGAGAGAGAGAGAGAGAGAGAGAGAGAGAGAGAACUAAGAACAAGGAGAAAAAGAAGAAGAGAAGAGAAGAAAAAAUCUCUAAGGAAUCGGAUCAAAAGUGUAGAUUCGACAACUCCGAGAAUCUCCGAAGGAUAAAUUUGGUACUUUAGCUAGCUGGACUUGAGGUAGGAUUUCCUGAUUCCCAAUGAUUGUGCUAUUUCACUUUUAAUCUUGGUGCUUAUAUAUAGUACUAUAAAUAUGAAUAUUAUUGUUGCUUUGCUCAACGAAUAUUAUUUGAUGUUAUGUGAAUAUUAUUAUUGAUGUUUUUUCGUGGAUUUUAUUUGAUAUUGGGUGAAUAUUAUUAUUCAUGUGAUGAAGCUUGAAAUAUUAUUUUUAUUAUUUGUAUUAUUAUUCAGAAGAUAUAAAUGAUGUUUGCGUUGCAUUACAUAUGCAUAAUAAAUACAAUGGUGUUAAGGGGGUGUGUGUCGUUUGACGUGUAUCCAAAGGGUGGGAGAAGACCUUAGAUAUAUCUGAGUAAAAAUGCGGAAUACAUUCAAGUGAUGGGAGCAGGGCUUGAAUAUAUUAAGGUGAUGGGAAUAGGGCCUCUAAAGAAAAGUGAAAGUUGAGAAAUUCGUAAACAAAAGAAAAAUGGGUUAAGAGACGGAUGAGCGCUAGUUCAUAUUUUAGGGUAUUCAGAGCUACAAUGGUAAAACAAAUGGUAUGGGACAUGCAGGCUUGUUGCCCUAGGAUAUGAAUUAGUGGGAUUAGUUUGUUCAUGGCAUCACUGCAUAUGCAAAUUUAUUUAUCUAGUAUGGUUGCAUAAUUUCUGUAUCUUGCGUUGUUUGAUGCAUAACACUUUGAUUAACUGUGGUAGCUGACCUUGAGGGGUUUGACGGAACUCUACUGGGUAUUAGAAUGCUCAUACUCUAAUAGAUUGUGAAUGAUUCAAGACAAAGUUUGAAGAAACGGGUUUCAACCAAGCUACUAGGUUUUUGUUGACGAUUUGUGUAAUUAACAUUUGUAAGUAGUCAACCUUUUGAUAAAGAUCUUAGUGUGUAUUUAACUACGAGCUACUGCGACUUUGAUUUUGUGGUGUUAAGUAAAUUUGUUUUCAUUUGUGGCUCU
Molecule: long non-coding RNA, 1504 nt
Organism: Prunus persica (peach)
Lineage: Eukaryota; Viridiplantae; Streptophyta; Magnoliopsida; Rosales; Rosaceae
Exons: 2
Source: RefSeq, a predicted model, not a curated record